RNAcentral lists this ribosomal RNA (505 nucleotides) under uncultured bacterium. Its description in RNAcentral is "bacterial SSU rRNA". It matches the Rfam family "Bacterial small subunit ribosomal RNA", at positions 111 to 628 of the family's 1533-position model. The record is from RNAcentral.
CAACGCGUGGGCAACCUGGCCUUAAGAAAAAGGAUAGCCCCCGGAAACGGGGAGUAAUACUUUAUGAGAAUGAAAGAGGGCAUCCUACUUUCAUUCAAAAGCGCAAGCGCUUAAGGAUGGGCCCGCGUAUCAUUAGCUAGUUGGUGAGAUAACAGCCCACCAAGGCAACGAUGAUUAGCCGGUCUGAGAGGGCGAACGGCCACAUUGGAACUGAGAGACGGUCCAAACUCCUACGGGAGGCAGCAGUGGGGAAUAUUGCGCAAUGGAGAAGAACUCUGACGCAGCAAUACCGCGUGAGCGAAGAAGGUCUUCGGAUCGUAAAGCUCUGUUAUCAGGGAAGAAGAAAAUGACGGUACCUGAUGAGCAAGUCCCGGCUAACUACGUGCCAGCAGCCGCGGUAAUACGUAGGGGACAAGCGUUGUCCGGAAUCACUGGGCGUAAAGGCGCGCAGGCGGUGAUUUAAGCAGGAUGUGAAAGGCUACGGCUCAACCGUAGACAUGCACCU